GGUUCUAUAGUGUAGUGGCUAGCACAUGAGAUUCUGAGGUUUCCCAGAGCAUUCUCAUAACCCCGGUUCGAUCCCGGGUAGGACCU
Non-coding RNA from Phyllosticta capitalensis, 86 nucleotides. Lineage: Eukaryota; Fungi; Ascomycota; Dothideomycetes; Botryosphaeriales; Phyllostictaceae. The record is from the annotation of a GenBank genome assembly.